This is a long non-coding RNA of Ornithodoros turicata, 571 nucleotides long. RefSeq lists it as uncharacterized. NCBI's taxonomy places the organism in Eukaryota, Metazoa, Arthropoda, Arachnida, Ixodida, Argasidae. The transcript is spliced from 2 exons. The record is from RefSeq and is a predicted model, not a curated record.
AUGGCGGGCUACUUGCAGCGUCGCUGGUCAUUUGAACUAUAAUUAUAACAGCUGGAAGAGUUACAACGUCCAUGCUGAGGGAAGGUACGCGGUCGCCCUUGACCAUUCACGGCCAGGCUGGGGACACUGGAAGUCAACACAUUUCAAGGCAGCACCAUCCGCAUCAUGAGACUGGCAUUCCAGCAGUUCGUAGGUCGAAAUCGAAAAGCGUACUGGUUCCUUGCACUAUUCUCUCUGUUGCCAUGAUGGCUUUCUUUUGCGGCUGGGUCGGCACACUCUAUGCGUUUCGAACGGACAUCUUUCAGGGAGGAAACCCAUCCAUCAUUCGAGUUGCCGAUUGGCGCACCGUCUCGCACUCCAGCGCCACAACUCCUGACGAUACCUUUAACGCGACGAAGAGCAGAACGAUGGGACGAGCUCUGCCGAGGAAGCAACGCUCCACCACUGCAGACAAAGAAGUCGCGUACCCUGCUUGGUAGGGGGCGCACUACAAGCAUAAAAUACGCUACACGUUAAAUGGGUUGCGACGCGUCUUCCCGUGUUAUUACAAAAUAAAUGUGAGAUACUGUUA